GAUGAACGCUGGCGGCGUGCCUAAUACAUGCAAGUAGAACGCUGAAGGAGGAGCUUGCUCUUCUGGAUGAGUUGCGAACGGGUGAGUAACGCGUUGGUAACCUGCCUGGUAGCGGGGGAUAACUAUUGGAAACGAUAGCUAAUACCGCAUGACAACAGUUAUUGCAUGAUAACUGUUUAAAAGGGGCAACUGCUCCACUACCAGAUGGACCUGCGUUGUAUUAGCUAGUUGGUGAGGUAACGGCUCACCAAGGCGACGAUACAUAGCCGACCUGAGAGGGUGAUCGGCCACACUGGGACUGAGACACGGCCCAGACUCCUACGGGAGGCAGCAGUAGGGAAUCUUCGGCGAUGGACGGAAGUCUGACCGAGCAACGCCGCGUGAGUGAAGAAGGUUUUCGGAUCGUAAAGCUCUGUUGUAAGAGAAGAACGAGUGUGAGAGUGGAAAGUUCACACUGUGACGGUAUCUUACCAGAAAGGGACGGCUAACUACGUG
This 495-nucleotide ribosomal RNA is filed under the name uncultured bacterium. Its description in RNAcentral is "partial 16S ribosomal RNA". It matches the Rfam family "Bacterial small subunit ribosomal RNA", at positions 28 to 507 of the family's 1533-position model. The record is from RNAcentral.